GUGCUCACCUUGGCAGCAUGUAUACUAAAAUCAGAAUGAUACGGAGAGGAUUAUCAUGGACCUUGCGCAAGGAUGACAUGCAAAUUCAUGAAGUAUUCCAUAUCUUU
Small nuclear RNA from Ochotona princeps (American pika), 107 nucleotides. The record is from RefSeq and is a predicted model, not a curated record. NCBI's taxonomy places the organism in Eukaryota, Metazoa, Chordata, Mammalia, Lagomorpha, Ochotonidae.